ACGGAAGGCAGCAGUGGGGAAUAUUGGACAAUGGGGGAAACCCUGAUCCAGCGACGCCGCGUGAGUGAAGAAGUAUUUCGGUAUGUAAAGCUCUAUCAGCAGGGAAGAUAAUGACGGUACCUGACUAAGAAGCCCCGGCUAACUACGUGCCAGCAGCCGCGGUAAUACGUAGGGGGCAAGCGUUAUCCGGAUUUACUGGGUGUAAGGGGAGCGUAGACGGCAUGGUAAGUCUGAUGUGAAAACCCGGGGCUCAACCCCGGGACUGCAUUGGAACCUGUCAGGCUUGAGUGCAGGAGAGGUAAGUGGAAUUCCUAGUGUAGCGGUGAAAUGCGUAGAUAUUAGGAGGAACACCAGUGGCGAAGGCGGCUUACUGGACUGUAACUGACGUUGAGGCUCGAAAGCGUGGGGAGCAAACAGGAUUAGAUACCCUGGUA
RNAcentral lists this ribosomal RNA (434 nucleotides) under uncultured Clostridium sp. RNAcentral describes it as "partial 16S ribosomal RNA". It matches the Rfam family "Bacterial small subunit ribosomal RNA", at positions 341 to 792 of the family's 1533-position model. Lineage: Bacteria; Bacillati; Bacillota; Clostridia; Eubacteriales; Clostridiaceae. The record is from RNAcentral.